AUGUUACAAAGACCGCGAUCUUUUCAGUUACUUGCCAAUGCGCAUGGUGCAAGGGCGCACCAAGGCACGAACGCCAUGGCUACUACUCCUACGGCAAUCCACGCUGCUUCGCUCUUCUUCCCUCCCACUCCGACCAUGGCGCCGGCCCCUCGGAAGCCAUUGCCGUUGCUCCUCCUCUCCUUCUCCUUCCCCGUCCUCCUCCUACUCCUCUCCCUUGUCUUCCUCCUAUCGCACACCACCUUCAGCCUCCUCCUCUGCCCUCUCCUGCCGCAGUCACCUUCGAGGUCAGCAAAUGCCACAACGACCGGCGCUGCCGCCGCCGCCGCCGCUGGCCUUGACGUCUCCAUGGACAGGACCCUGCUCGCGUUUCACGUCUCGGCUUCGCCACCGCCGCCGGUGCCUCCUCCCCCUCUUGCACCUACUCCACCGGUUAAGAGUAAGAAGAACAGCAAGAAAUCCUCCACGAAGCGAAACAAGGGCCUCUUCAAGCGCCUGAUCAGGCAAGCUCCCCGGACGCGGCAGUUCGCGGCGCGCACUGCCGAGCUCUUCGCGCCGCCGUCACCGCAGCGGCCGUGUGCGCACCGCUUCUUCAUGACGUGGCUGUCCCCGCUCGAGAAGUUCGGAAGCCGCGAGGCCCUCGUCCUGGAGACCCUCUUCCGGUGGCACCGCGACGCCUGCCUCCUCAUCGCCUCCGACACCAUGGACUCCCCGGUCGGCAGCGACAGGCUCCGGCCGUUCCUCGACCGCGGCUUCCGCGUCCGCGCCGCGUCGCCGGACUUGGUGCACCUCCUGCGCGGCACGCCGGCGGAGUCGUGGCUCGGCGCGGUGCGGCGCGGGGAGGUCAGCCCGGGGAGCGUGCCGCUCGGGCAGAACCUCUCCAACCUCCUCCGCCUCGCGCUGCUCUACAAGUACGGCGGCGUCUACCUCGACGCCGACGUCGUCGUCCUCAGGCCCCUGUCGGGCCUCCGCAACGCCAUCGGGGCGCAGGCCGUGGACGCGGCCACCGGCGACUGGAUGCGGCUGAACAACGCCGUGAUGGCGUUCGACCGGGGCCACCCGCUGCUGCGCGAGUUCAUCGCCGAGUUCGCCGCCACGUUCGACGGCAGCAAGUGGGGACACAACGGGCCCUACCUGGUGUCGAGGGUGACGCGCCGGAUGCCGGAGCUCGACGUCACGGUGCUGCCGCCGCGGGCGUUCUACCCCGUGGACUGGAACAAGAUCGGCGGGCUGUUCAUGGCGCCCAAGGACAGGAAGGAGGAGAAGUGGGUGCAGGCCAAGGUGGACAACAUCAGAGGUGGGAGCUUCGGCAUCCAUCUGUGGAACAGGGAGAGCAGAGGGAUCGAAAUGGAGGAGGGGAGCGUGAUCCGAAGGUUGAUUUCGGACGGCUGCUUGUUCUGCAAUUCUUCCGUCGUUGCAUGA
RNAcentral lists this ribosomal RNA (1419 nucleotides) under Triticum aestivum (bread wheat). RNAcentral describes it as "partial small subunit ribosomal RNA". The record is from RNAcentral. Lineage: Eukaryota; Viridiplantae; Streptophyta; Magnoliopsida; Poales; Poaceae.